AGACUAUUUUUAAGGAUAUUUAAAGCUUUUUUUAAUAAUCUUCAGCUAAAAAAAACCAAAAAAAGAUCCCCCAAAAAACCACAGUUUAUUUUUUAAAGAAAUGUGUUGCCAAAAGCAAAAUAGGUUAGGAAGGAAAACAGGGAGGAAGCAAUGUUUUAUUAUGUACUGAGAUUAAUUUUGUGUGGCACCAAGGAGCACGUAAGCCCCAAAGACUGGUUCUGGGAGCUUGGAACCAAGUACAAUGGAGGGAGUGGAAGAAAGAUUAUGUAGCUAAGAACCAAUGAAAAUGUACAUUUUGUACAUUACCAAAAAAGAUUCCUAUUCAUACUGUCUGAGCUGGAUUAUAUUUUGACAACUUUUCCUAUCUUAAAAUUACACAGAGAUGAAAAAGCAAACGGAAUCAAUCUUGCUCUAUG
Molecule: long non-coding RNA, 416 nt
Filed under: Bos taurus (domestic cattle)
Lineage: Eukaryota; Metazoa; Chordata; Mammalia; Artiodactyla; Bovidae
Description: long non-coding RNA NONBTAT000811
Source: RNAcentral